Molecule: ribosomal RNA, 488 nt
Filed under: uncultured bacterium
Lineage: Bacteria
Description: bacterial SSU rRNA
Rfam family: Bacterial small subunit ribosomal RNA
Source: RNAcentral
AUUGAACGCUGGCGGCAGGCUUAACACAUGCAAGUCGAGCGGUAACAGAUCUAGCUUGCUAGAUGCUGACGAGCGGCGGACGGGUGAGUAAUGCAUAGGAAUCUGCCCAGUAGUGGGGGAUAGCCCGGGGAAACCCGGAUUAAUACCGCAUACGCCCUACGGGGGAAAGCAGGGGAUCUUCGGACCUUGCGCUAUUGGAUGAGCCUAUGUCGGAUUAGCUAGUUGGUAGGGUAAGAGCCUACCAAGGCAACGAUCCGUAGCUGGUUUGAGAGGAUGAUCAGCCACAUCGGGACUGAGACACGGCCCGAACUCCUACGGGAGGCAGCAGUGGGGAAUAUUGGACAAUGGGGGCAACCCUGAUCCAGCCAUGCCGCGUGUGUGAAGAAGGCUUUCGGGUUGUAAAGCACUUUCAGUGGGGAAGAAAUCCUCGGGGCCAAUACCCUCGAGGGAGGACAUCACCCACAGAAGAAGCACCGGCUAACUCCGUG